AAAGAAACCCCAAAUCGCUGCUGACCUGCUGUUGUUGUUCGAGUCCGAGGGCAGGGGUCUUGAACUUGCUCGAUUUCUUCACGAAUCACGGCUCAUCCUCAGGUUGAAAUUGGGGGUGAAUUUUAGCCCUAAACUUGUUGAAAUUGUCAAUCUUCGACGAAUUCUUCUUGAAUCUUCAUAAGAUUAUGCUAUGGGAUUGACCGGCUGCUGCUGUGCCUGCUCUUGUUCGACUGCAAGCUGCUGCGCUACUUGUUGUGGUCUUGUUUGACUUCUUCAAUCUUCAUAAGGUUAAAGGUAUGUGUUUUUCUAUCUUUAGGUUUAAUUUAGGGCUACAAUUUAUGUGAUUUAGGUUGAAAUUAGGGGAGAAUUUUAACCCUAAACUUGUUGAAAUUAGGGGUAGAACUAUAAUUCUUCAGGCAGAAAUUAGGGCAGAACUGAAUUUUAGCCCUAAACUUGUUGAAAUUAGAGGUGAAUUUUAGCCCUAAACUUGUGAUUUAGGUAGAAAUUAGGGGCAGAACUGAAAUUAGGGCUGCAAUUUAUGUGAUUUAGGUUGAAAUUAGGGACAGAACUAUAAUUCUUCAUCCAAGUGAACCGGGUACCCCACCUU
This is a long non-coding RNA of Helianthus annuus (common sunflower), 607 nucleotides long. RefSeq lists it as uncharacterized. Lineage: Eukaryota; Viridiplantae; Streptophyta; Magnoliopsida; Asterales; Asteraceae. The record is from RefSeq and is a predicted model, not a curated record. The transcript has 3 exons.